Molecule: ribosomal RNA, 292 nt
Filed under: uncultured bacterium
Lineage: Bacteria
Description: partial 16S ribosomal RNA
Rfam family: Bacterial small subunit ribosomal RNA
Source: RNAcentral
GUGCCAGCCGCCGCGGUAAUACGUAGGAAGCAAGCGUUAUCCGGAUUUACUGGGCGUAAAGUGGACGUAGGCGGUCUUUCAAGUCGGAUGUGAAAUCUCCUGGCUUAACUGGGAGGGGUCAUCCGAUACUGUUGGACUAGAGGACAUCAGGGGAAGGUGGAAUUCCCGGUGUAGUGGUGAAAUGCGUAGAUAUCGGGAGGAACACCAGUGGCGAAGGCGGCCUUCCAGGAUGUUUCUGACGCUGAGGUCCGAAAGUGUGGGGAGCGAACAGGAUUAGAUACCCUCGUAGUCC